AUGGCAGGGGAAGGGGGCGGGGAGGAGAAGACGAUCGCCGCCGGAGCAGGAGACACGGAGGAGAAGAGCGGCGAGGAGACGACGGCGGCGCUUCCAAAGCUUCCGAAGAAACAGGCGUGCAAGAGGCCCGCGGAGGACCAGCAGCUUCAGAACGCCGCCGCCGCCAAGAAGCGGGCUCAGCACUCAAACCGCCAGCGCGUCGGAGCCCCAGCACCGCGACCACAAGGCAACGGCAUGCAGGCUCCGACCAGGACGCUGGAAUACUAUGCUCGACCACUGUUGCCGCGGCCACCGGUGGCACGCAACAACGGCCCGGCGCCGCAGCCGGCGUUGAACGGGCAGGUGCGCGUACCGCGGCAGCUGGCGGCAUACAACGGGCAGGUGCCGGUGGCGCAGCAGCAGGUGGCGUUCAACGGCCAGGUAAGGCCGCCGCCGUACCGGCCCGUAGGUACCCCCAACAAUCGCGGUCAGAAUCAGACAGUAAUGACGCCGCCUUCAUGCCCGGCCAGCCAAGGAGUGAACCCGCCGUCGGCCGUCCCGCGGAUGCAGAAGCAGCCAGAGACAGAUGAGAUGCGCGAGAAGCGAGUGAUUCAGCAAAAUCUGGAGGAAUACCUCUGGUUACAAAGACAGAUCUACGCAGCCAAGCAGCAAUGGCGGAUGACGUUCAUGCAGCAGCCGCAACAGGCCAUGGCGUUCACGCAGGAGCAGCAGCAGCAAGCGCAGGCUAUGGCGUUCACGCAGCAGCAGCAACAGGCUAUGGCGUUCACGCAGCAGCAGCAGGCGCAGGCUAUGGCGUUCACGCAGCAGCAGCAGCAGGCGACGGCGUUUGGGAGGCAGCAGCAACAGCCGACGGCAUACGCGCCGCAGCUGCAGCAGUACCGUCAGCAGCAACAGCAGCAGUACCAUCAGCAGCUGCCGUACUUGGGCGGCGCCAGCGCGAACUACCAUCAUCAGGCGGGGGGCGUGGUCCCUCGGUUCUCGCUUGACGACUUCUACGCCAGCAACGCCGCGCAGUACUACGAGCGCUCUCCGAUGGUCCUCCCGGCGGCGAGCGGUUCACUAGGAGAGGCGGUGCGGGUGACGGCAGAGGCUUUGCCGGUCAGUACGGUGGUGAGUGUGGAGGGAGACGGGGAUCACGGCAGCCAUGGCCAGCAGGAGCCCGCCCGCGCAUCGGCGGAGGGCGAUGGCUCCCAGCAUGCAUGA
This 1203-nucleotide ribosomal RNA is filed under the name Triticum aestivum (bread wheat). RNAcentral describes it as "partial small subunit ribosomal RNA". The record is from RNAcentral. Lineage: Eukaryota; Viridiplantae; Streptophyta; Magnoliopsida; Poales; Poaceae.